GUCACUGUUUAAAAAUAAGGGGUCACCAAUUUAAAACAGAGCUAAGGUGAAAUUUUUUCACUCAGAUGCUCGUGAGUCUUUGGAACACUUCCUGAAAAAGCAGUGGAAACAGAAUCAUUGAAGGCAGAGGAUGUGGGUGCCACUGCGAAGGCCAGCAUUUGUUACCCAUCCUUAAUUGCCCUUGGCUUGCUAGACCAUUUGAGGACAGUUAGGAGGCAAUGUAGGACCAGGUUUGAGGCCUUCAUCCUGCCAGAGUUGGAAGGUGGAAUGUCCGGCCUAUAAGGUCACUGGCC
Carcharodon carcharias (great white shark) is the source of this 293-nucleotide long non-coding RNA. RefSeq lists it as uncharacterized. The transcript has 3 exons. The record is from RefSeq and is a predicted model, not a curated record. NCBI's taxonomy places the organism in Eukaryota, Metazoa, Chordata, Chondrichthyes, Lamniformes, Lamnidae.